GGUAAUUUCUGCUGUUUCCUGUUUGGAACUGAGUUGGAAUUAGUGAAAUGGCCCUUUAAAGGAUCUCGAAAGUGCAGUAGUUGGCAUCUCAAGUGAAGUGUGGGGGAAGGGCCGUGUAGCUGCUAAUGCCAGGCACACGGUGAGAGUCCGGUGGCUGGAUUGAUGGAGGCCCUUUCUAGAGUGUGACAGAUUCAGCAGAGCUGUCUUGAAGGAUGGUAGCGAUUCAGAUGUGACUCGCAUCGGUAAGAAAUGAUUGAAAGGUUUGGAUAUACUGUGGAAACAGCCCCACAGUGUGAGGGGAAACUGCGAAGACUCUUCAGGCCUUUCACUAGACACUGUCAGCACACUUUUAACCACAGAGUUGUUUGCUGUUAUCUAAUCAGUACUCAGUUUGGAGAUGCUUUUGCAUGGAUCUGGUGUACGUUAUGCCAAGCAACGUGUGUGAGCUUAGUUGAUCAGUAGAAGAACUCAUCGUCUUUGUAAGACAGUUCAAGACAUUUCCUUUGAAUUGAUAUUUUCUGCUGAAAGUUUCAUGCUGUCAUACCUGUCUUAGCUCUGUGUCCAGAACAAAAAAUUUUCCGAAAGGGGCGGGGGACGGAAAACUUGUGGCCAAGCUUACAGAACAUGAAUCUUUCAGGUAUAACCCUAGAAUAUUCUUCAGAUUCAUAUAACUUGAAUCAUGGGCUCUGCCCAGCGCUAUUCUUACUGUUUAAGCCUCAUAGUUUUCUAGGGUAGUUAGAUCUCUACUCCCUCUCGAUUUAAUAAUAAUUAAAUCUUAAUAAUUGCAUGAUCAAAUUCAUGCUGAUUGCAUAAAGGAUCAGGAACAGCUGAGCAGUACCAAGUUUUGUUUCAUUUUGGUUUUCCUCUUGUUAGAGUUUCCGGGGUUGUCAUUUGGUCGAGCGUAUCCACAUGCUUCUAAUUAUGGUAUGAGAUUGUGGCUGGAUCCCGUUGUCCUUAACCAGAGUAGUGCUUGUUCUCCUGCAUUAUUGGACAGUUUGUAUCCAACGUGUAAAUAGAAUUUCUUAAGUCCAAUUCUAACCAUGGCAUACUUUUAUUAUAAACAAACCACAUCUGAUUGCACAUUAAACAAGGGUGCCGUUUUUGGUUGCUGGAACCGAAUACUUUAAAGAUGAAAAAAAAACAUGCCGAGGAAAAAAGAUAAGAAAAUUAAUGUUAUUUGAUUCAUAUGCGUCUUCAUUGUACUAGACAAUCAACAUUAGAAGGAAUCAGACUGUUGCUGUAGUUAUGCCUAGGUGAUUUGGUACAUAUAAUUGGCUGCCUACUUAAAUUUAUUUUGUUUCCUUGCCUGCGCUCUUAUUUUUAAUUAUUCCAUUUUAAGUGGGCAGUUUCAACUUCACAACUAACUUCAAGAUCCGGUAGCAUGUCCUAGAGAUUAAAAUAUCUUUAGGUUAAGUCAUGAGCAGCUUAGUCCUUCCGCAGGUGGUCAAAGAACAAAACGCUGAAGGCUGGUUUUCAGAUGAUACUGUCCCUGCUAGAAGGCUGGUUUUCAGAUGAUACUGUCCCUGCUAGAAGGCUGGUUUUCAGAUGAUACUGUCCCUGCUAGAAGGCUGGUUUUCAGAUGAUACUGUCCCUGCUAGAAGGCUGGUUUUCAGAUGAUACUGUCCCUGCUAGAAGGCUGGAUUUCAGAUGAUACUGUCCCUGUUUGAUCCAAACAUUUUCACCGUCUUUCCCCAUUAGGUCAGUUAUAAGCACCAGUUCCUUCCAUUGACUCUUUCCCCAACGUAUUCUUUAACAAAGUAUGAAUAGCAUGGUGAAGCACUGAAAAAUAAACCCAGUUGGGCUCCGUGUGGUGGGGUAGGUGUUAGUGGAUUCCCCAGGACACAACUGCUCAAAGACAUUGGUAUUCAGAGUUGCUUCGAAAAGAUUGUUCUAGAUGGAGAGAGAUGCAAGUGCAAGUUGAUACCAACUUACAGGCAUGUUCAAAGAUAAAGUAAGCUAUCUAAAAAUACUCAGUGUUCCCACUAAAAAAUUUUUUAAAAUUAUCUUACCAGAUCUUUCAUUAGCAGACCAUCAGCCAUCUUCCCCGUAACACUAAGAAAUUACCUUUUUUUUUCCUUUCAGAUUUGCAUUACAGUGCAUUACUGUUUACAAGAUACACAUACUGUGAACAGAUCUAAGUCUUUGUCUUUUGUAAGGUUUGUAGAAUGAAUGUUGUUUUAAAGAUGGUGUUAUGUUAAAUAUCUUCAGGUCUCUGUAAAUGCUAGCUCCUGUUUACUAACCUUUGUUUGGUCAGGUGUGUGUCCAUGUAGCUGAAAGAGGAUAGAAAUUGCAGUUUCUGUAACUUUUCCCAUUUUCAUUUCUUGUAAAGUUACCACUACAGACCUGGUUGUGUUAAAUCAAAAGAUCGGUUAUGGGGCUGGGGAUUUAGCUCAGUGGUAGAGUGCUUGCCUAGCAAGCACAAGGCCCUGGGUUCGGUCCCCAGGUCUGAAAAAAAGAAAAAAAAAAAAAAAGAUCGGUUAUGAUGUGCAAUACCGGAAAUCAUGUUCAGUCCUAUAAGGAAUCUUUUCAAGGCGCACACACAGGAAGUAAAUGAGAUUGAUGUGUGUGUCUCUGUGAUUCACCCCAACUCAAACGACUCUGGGUUGAGCGUGGAAUAAAACAGCACUCACAGAGACUGACAGCAGGGGCACUUCCGGCCUUGGGAAAUGUUACGUCGCUGUUAAAAUUGGAAAUUUGAACUUUUUAUAUCAUAAUUUCAGAAUUUAGCUACCAUACCUUUUGGGAAACAUGAUUAUCACAAGAACAUAGAUUAUGUAAAUAACCUAUAACUAAGACACUGCAAAUAUAAAAUUAGUAUCGCUUGGCUGUUAAUUAUAUAAAGAUGUUACCUAUGUCUGUUUUUAAAACAUGCAUGUAUUUAACAAUUUUAUCAUAGUAUUGUCAUGAAAAAAUAAAUAUAUUUUCUUACGUCUUACUCUAGUAAAUUGGGACAUUUAUUGGU
Molecule: long non-coding RNA, 2962 nt
Filed under: Rattus norvegicus (Norway rat)
Lineage: Eukaryota; Metazoa; Chordata; Mammalia; Rodentia; Muridae
Description: long non-coding RNA NONRATT015073
Rfam family: tRNA (bases 2387-2443)
Source: RNAcentral